RNAcentral lists this ribosomal RNA (1153 nucleotides) under Escherichia coli. Its description in RNAcentral is "partial 23S ribosomal RNA". It matches the Rfam family "Bacterial large subunit ribosomal RNA", at positions 344 to 1506 of the family's 2925-position model. The record is from RNAcentral. Lineage: Bacteria; Pseudomonadati; Pseudomonadota; Gammaproteobacteria; Enterobacterales; Enterobacteriaceae.
GGAAAGGCGUGCGAUACAGGGUGACAGCCCCGUACACAAAAAUGCACAUGCUGUGAGCUCGAUGAGUAGGGCGGGACACGUGGUAUCCUGUCUGAAUAUGGGGGGACCAUCCUCCAAGGCUAAAUACUCCUGACUGACCGAUAGUGAACCAGUACCGUGAGGGAAAGGCGAAAAGAACCCCGGCGAGGGGAGUGAAAAAGAACCUGAAACCGUGUACGUACAAGCAGUGGGAGCCUCUUUAUGGGGUGACUGCGUACCUUUUGUAUAAUGGGUCAGCGACUUAUAUUCUGUAGCAAGGUUAACCGAAUAGGGGAGCCGAAGGGAAACCGAGUCUUAACUGGGCGUUAAGUUGCAGGGUAUAGACCCGAAACCCGGUGAUCUAGCCAUGGGCAGGUUGAAGGUUGGGUAACACUAACUGGAGGACCGAACCGACUAAUGUUGAAAAAUUAGCGGAUGACUUGUGGCUGGGGGUGAAAGGCCAAUCAAACCGGGAGAUAGCUGGUUCUCCCCGAAAGCUAUUUAGGUAGCGCCUCGUGAAUUCAUCUCCGGGGGUAGAGCACUGUUUCGGCAAGGGGGUCAUCCCGACUUACCAACCCGAUGCAAACUGCGAAUACCGGAGAAUGUUAUCACGGGAGACACACGGCGGGUGCUAACGUCCGUCGUGAAGAGGGAAACAACCCAGACCGCCAGCUAAGGUCCCAAAGUCAUGGUUAAGUGGGAAACGAUGUGGGAAGGCCCAGACAGCCAGGAUGUUGGCUUAGAAGCAGCCAUCAUUUAAAGAAAGCGUAAUAGCUCACUGGUCGAGUCGGCCUGCGCGGAAGAUGUAACGGGGCUAAACCAUGCACCGAAGCUGCGGCAGCGACACUAUGUGUUGUUGGGUAGGGGAGCGUUCUGUAAGCCGUUGAAGGUGGCCUGUGAGGGUUGCUGGAGGUAUCAGAAGUGCGAAUGCUGACAUAAGUAACGAUAAAGCGGGUGAAAAGCCCGCUCGCCGGAAGACCAAGGGUUCCUGUCCAACGUUAAUCGGGGCAGGGUGAGUCGACCCCUAAGGCGAGGCCGAAAGGCGUAGUCGAUGGGAAACAGGUUAAUAUUCCUGUACUUGGUGUUACUGCGAAGGGGGGACGGAGAAGGCUAUGUUGGCCGGGCGACGGUUGUC